Molecule: ribosomal RNA, 495 nt
Filed under: uncultured bacterium
Lineage: Bacteria
Description: bacterial SSU rRNA
Rfam family: Bacterial small subunit ribosomal RNA
Source: RNAcentral
GACGAACGCUGGCGGCGUGCCUAAUACAUGCAAGUCGAACGGUCUUUUCUAUGGAAGCUUGCUUCCACUGAGAAGAUAGUGGCGAACGGGUGAGUAACACGUGGGUAACCUGCCCAUAAGAGGGGGAUAACAUCCGGAAACGGGUGCUAAUACCGCAUAGUUUUCUUGAUCGCAUGAUUGGGAAAGGAAAGACGGCCUUUGUGCUGUCGCUUAUGGAUGGACCCGCGGCGUAUUAGUUAGUUGGUGAGGUAACGGCUCACCAAGACGAUGAUACGUAGCCGACCUGAGAGGGUGAUCGGCCACAUUGGGACUGAGACACGGCCCAAACUCCUACGGGAGGCAGCAGUAGGGAAUCUUCCGCAAUGGACGAAAGUCUGACGGAGCAACGCCGCGUGAGUGAAGAAGGUUUUCGGAUCGUAAAACUCUGUUGUCAGAGAAGAACAAGUGGUAGAGUAACUAGCUCCAGCCUUGUACGGUAUCUGACCACGAAAGACC